UGCUGAGAAAGGCGUUUGCUGG
Molecule: non-coding RNA, 22 nt
Filed under: Mus musculus (house mouse)
Lineage: Eukaryota; Metazoa; Chordata; Mammalia; Rodentia; Muridae
Source: RNAcentral